GGAAUUUUGCACAAUGGGGGAAACCCUGAUGCAGCGACGCCGCGUGGAGGAUGAAGGCCUUCGGGUUGUAAACUCCUUUUGUAGGGGACAAUGAUGAUGGUACCCUGCGAAUAAGCCACGGCUAACUCUGUGCCAGCAGCCGCGGUAAGACAGAGGUGGCGAGCGUUGUUCGGAAUCACUGGGCUUAAAGGGCGCGUAGGUGGUAGAGCAAGUCUGAGGUGGAAUCCUGGGGCUUAACCCCAGAACAGCCUUGGAAACUGCAUUACUUGAGUCAGUGAGGGGAGGGUAGAAUUCCUGGUGUAGCGGUGAAAUGCGUAGAUAUCAGGAGGAAGGCCUGUGGUGAAGACGGCCCUCUGGCGCUGAACUGACACUGAGGCGCGAAAGCGUGGGUAGCAAACA
RNAcentral lists this ribosomal RNA (399 nucleotides) under uncultured bacterium. RNAcentral's name for it is "bacterial SSU rRNA". It matches the Rfam family "Bacterial small subunit ribosomal RNA", at positions 358 to 774 of the family's 1533-position model. The record is from RNAcentral.